This 866-nucleotide ribosomal RNA is filed under the name uncultured Rhodoplanes sp. RNAcentral describes it as "bacterial SSU rRNA". It matches the Rfam family "Bacterial small subunit ribosomal RNA", at positions 9 to 928 of the family's 1533-position model. The record is from RNAcentral. Lineage: Bacteria; Pseudomonadati; Pseudomonadota; Alphaproteobacteria; Hyphomicrobiales; Nitrobacteraceae.
GAGUUUGAUCCUGGCUCAGAGCGAACGCUGGCGGCAGGCCUAACACAUGCAAGUCGAGCGCCCCGCAAGGGGAGCGGCAGACGGGAGAGUAACACGUGGGAACGUGCCCUUUGGUUCGGAACAACACAGGGAAACUUGUGCUGAUACCGGAUAAGUCCGUAAGGAGAAAGAUUUAUCGCCAAAGGAUCGGCCCGCGUCUGAUUAGCUUGUUGGUGAGGUAACGGCUCACCAAGGCGACGAUCAGUAGCUGGUCUGAGAGGAUGAUCAGCCUCACUGGGACUGAGACACGGCCCAGACUCCUACGGGAGGCAGCAGUGGGGAAUAUUGGACAAUGGGCGCAAGCCUGAUCCAGCCAUGCCGCGUGGAUGAUGAAGGCCCUAGGGUUGUAAAGUCCUUUCGGCGGGGAAGAUAAUGACGGUACCCGCAGAAGAAGCCCCGGCUAACUUCGUGCCAGCAGCCGCGGUAAUACGAAGGGGGCUAGCGUUGCUCGGAAUCACUGGGCGUAAAGCGCACGUAGGCGGCUUUUUAAGUCAGAGGUGAAAUCCUGGAGCUCAACUCCAGAACUGCCUUUGAUACUGGAGAGCUUGAGUCCGGGAGAGGUGAGUGGAACUGCGAGUGUAGAGGUGAAAUUCGUAGAUAUUCGCAAGAACACCAGUGGCGAAGGCGGCUCACUGGCCCGGUACUGACGCUGAGUGCGAAAGCGUGGGGGAGCAAACAGGAUUAGAUAUCCCUGGUAGUCCACGCCGUAAACGAUGGAUGCUAGCCGUUGUCGGUUUACCCGUCCAUGGCGCAGCUAAGCAUUAACAUCCCGUCUGGGGAGUACGGGCGCAGAUUAAAACUCAAAGGAGUGACGGGGGCCCGCACAG